UGCGNGNCUAAAUGCAGUCGAGCGGUAAGGCCUUUCGGGGUACACNAGCGGCGAACGGGUGAGUAACACGUGGGUGAUCUGCCCUGCACUUCNGGAUAAGCCUGGGAAACUGGGUCUAAUACCGGAUAUGACCUCCUNUUGCAUGNUGNGUGGUGGAAAGAUUUAUCGGUGCAGGAUGGGCCCGCGGCCUAUCAGCUUGUUGGUGGGGUAAUGGCCUACCAAGGCGACGACGGGUAGCCGACCUGAGAGGGUGACCGGCCACACUGGGACUGAGACACGGCCCAGACUCCUACGGGAGGCAGCAGUGGGGAAUAUUGCACAAUGGGCGAAAGCCUGAUGCAGCGACGCCGCGUGAGGGAUGACGGCCUUCGGGUUGUAAACCUCUUUCAGCAGGGACGAAGCGCAAGUGACGGUACCUGCAGAAGAAGCACCGGCUAACUACGUGCCAGCAGCCGCGGGUAAUACA
RNAcentral lists this ribosomal RNA (466 nucleotides) under Rhodococcus erythropolis. RNAcentral describes it as "bacterial SSU rRNA". It matches the Rfam family "Bacterial small subunit ribosomal RNA", at positions 43 to 527 of the family's 1533-position model. The record is from RNAcentral. Lineage: Bacteria; Bacillati; Actinomycetota; Actinomycetes; Mycobacteriales; Nocardiaceae.